GGGGAUUACAGGUGUAAGCCACCGCACCUGGCGAUUCUUUUUAAAUAUUUUAUUUUUUACAGCUUUAUAGAGGUAUGAUUGAUAUAUAAUAAACAGCACAUACUAAACUAUACGAUUUGAUGUCUGACAUAUGUGAAAUCCAUGAAACUAUCACCACAAUUAGUAUUAUAAAAUAUCCAUCAUUCAAAAAUUUUCUUUGUGCUCCUUUGCAAUUUAUCCCUCGCUACCUCCCAUCCUGCCCCAAAGCAACCACUGAUCUGUUGCCUUUUGUUACUCCGGAUUAGUUUGUAGGUGGGCUUCAUUUAAUCAGUUGAAGUCCUGAUAUUAAAAAAAGGCCCUCGUUUUCCAUUUUCAGGAAGAAUUUAUGUAAGAUUGGUAAUAUUUCAUCUUUAAAUGUUUGGUAGAAUUCACCAAUGAAGUCACCUGGGCCUGGAGUUUUCUUUUGAGACCACACAUUUAACUUCUUUAUUAGAUAUAGAGCUAUUCACAUUGUCUAUUCCAUUUCAAUGAGCUUUGAUAAUUUGUUUCUUUCAAGGAAUCUGUCCAUUGUUGUCAAAUUUAUUGGCAUAAACUUGUUUAUAAUUUUCUUAUUUUCCUGCAAAUGUCUACAUGAUCUGGAGUGAUGUGUUCUCUCUCAUUCCCAAUAUCAGUCUGGCUAGAGGUUUAUGAAUUUUGCUAUUUUUCUCAAAUAACCAGUUUUGGGUUUUAUUGAAUCACUGUUUGCCUGUUUAUUAUUUUUAAUGUUAUCUUUAAAUUUUCCUUUUCCCUGAUUACUUUGAGUUUUAUUUUAUCUCCUUUCUCUAGUUUCCUAUGUACAACUAUAGAUCAUUGAUUUGAGACCUUGUUUACAAUGUAGACAUUUAGUGCUAUACAUUACACUCUAAGCAUUGCUUUAGCUGUAUAUCACAGAUUUUUAAUGGGAUGUGUUCCCCCUUUCCUUUAGAUCAAAAUGCUUUGUAAAGAUCUUUCAGUUAUUAAAGGCAUAAUAAUGUUUUAUAUUAUAAACAACUUAAUGGCAGUAAACCCAACUGAAAUGAAAUGGAUAAAUUUCCUGAAAGACACCAACUACCACAACUUGCUCAACAAGAAUAGGAAACUGAAAUAGUCAGUGGUCAAGCGAAAAAAAAUUUGAAUUUUUUUUUUUUUUUUUUUUUUUGAGACAGUCUUGCUCUGUUGCCCAGGCUGGAGUGCAGUGGCGCAAUCUUGGCUCACUGCAAGCUCCACCUCCUGGAUUCACGCCAUGCUCCUGCCUCAGCCUCCCGAGUAGCUGGGACUACAGGCACCUGCCACCACACCUGGCUAAUUUUUUUUUAGUAGAAACAAGGUUUCACCACAUUAGCCAGGAUGAUCUCAAUCUCUUGACCUCGUGAUCCGCCCACCUCAGCCUCCCAAAGUGCUGGGAUUACAGGCGUAAGCCACCGCGCCCAGCCAAAAAAUUGGAUUUGUAGCUAAUAUCUUUCCCAGGAAGAAUACUCCAGGCCCAGAUGGCUUCACUAGUGAAUCCUAUUAAAUGUUUAAGGAAGCAAUAAGGCCAAUUUUACAGAAAAUGUCCCUAAAAAUGAAAUAGGAGGAAAUAUUUUCCAACUCAUUCUAUGAGGCUAGCAUUACUUAUACCAAAACUAGACAAAAGAUAUUACAAGAAAAAAAAACUGCAGAUCAACUUUCUUCAUUAACACAGGUGCAACCAAAUGAGCUAACCUCAGUAAUGAAAAAAAGUUCAUUCAAUAUUUAACAGUUAAUGCCGUUUUCUAUAUUAACAGACACAAAAAGAAACAAGAAAAACCACAUGAUCAUCUCAAUAGAUGUAUACCAAGUAUUUGACAAAAUUCAAUAUCUAUUUAUUAUAAAAAUCUCUCAACAACAAAGAAUAGAAGGGAAUUUUCAACCUGAUAUAGCAUCUAAGAUAAUUCACAGUUAACAUCACAGUUAAAAUACAUUUUACAUCAUAACAUUUACAUCAUACAUGUAAAUGACCUAAUGCCUUUUUUCCUAAGAUUAGGACUAAAGCACAAAUAUCUGCUUUAUCUACCUUUAUUCAACGAAGCAUGGAAAUGAUCAAUGUAUGAUUCACAAUAUUUAUGGGUUACUGCUCAGUGAGGGAAGAGUGCUGCCAUCACUAUGUGGUAUAUAAAAGGCUCUGAAGAAUAGUUUUACUAUCUCUUGCUCUUAAUGUUCUGUACACAGGUGUUCAUUUGUUGCCCAUUAACAUGUGCAUGUUCAUCUGCAUUAAAUCUUUUUAUGUAUAUUUUUCUAAAUUAAAAAAUUGCAGAUUCCAAGGACCAAAAACUAGACACUUCUAUUCAAUAUCUUAGUCUGGCACCAAGAAAUCUACAUUUUUAUCAAGUUCCUACAGUAAUUUUAAUAAUAGUAGUCUAAGGGUCACAUUUUGAGUAUCCGUAUUAUUUCCAUAGUUUGAAUAUUUUACUCUUAUAACUUAGCACUUCAGAAAGAGCUACAAUGUGACUAAAGGAGGCAGUUUAUAAUAAAUAAACAUACAACCAUUCUAAUUCCAGAAAUUAUCACUUUACUAUACAAAAAAACCUAAAC
This 2547-nucleotide long non-coding RNA is filed under the name Homo sapiens (human). RNAcentral describes it as "HSALNT0011510". Lineage: Eukaryota; Metazoa; Chordata; Mammalia; Primates; Hominidae. The record is from RNAcentral.